ACAAUGAAGAGUUUGAUCCUGGCUCAGGAUGAACGCUAGCUACAGGCUUAACACAUGCAAGUCGAGGGGCAUCAGUUUGGUUUGCUUGCAAACCAAAGCUGGCGACCGGCGCACGGGUGAGUAACACGUAUCCAACCUGCCUCAUACUCGGGGAUAGCCUUUCGAAAGAAAGAUUAAUAUCCGAUAGCAUAUAUUUCCCGCAUGGGUUUUAUAUUAAAGAAAUUCGGUAUGAGAUGGGGAUGCGUUCCAUUAGUUUGUUGGCGGGGUAACGGCCCACCAAGACUACGAUGGAUAGGGGUUCUGAGAGGAAGGUCCCCCACAUUGGAACUGAGACACGGUC
RNAcentral lists this ribosomal RNA (340 nucleotides) under Bacteroides caccae. RNAcentral describes it as "bacterial SSU rRNA". It matches the Rfam family "Bacterial small subunit ribosomal RNA", at positions 1 to 331 of the family's 1533-position model. The record is from RNAcentral. Lineage: Bacteria; Pseudomonadati; Bacteroidota; Bacteroidia; Bacteroidales; Bacteroidaceae.